GCUCAAAACUCAAAGGACUUGACGGUAUCCCAAACCAACCUAGAGGAGCCUGUCCUAUAAUCGAUACUCCACGCUACACCUUACCCCCCCUUGAAACCAGUCUGUAUACCGCCGUCUACCAGUUCGCCUUAUGACAGACCCACAGCGAACACAAAAGCCAACCACUCAGACGUCAGGUCAAGGUGCAGCCAACGGGGGGGCAACGAUGGGCUACAUUUUCUACCAAUCAGAACAACACCACCCACCAUAUGAAACAUUGGUCAAAAGGCGGAUUUAGCAGUAAGCCAGACA
Molecule: ribosomal RNA, 291 nt
Filed under: Tarentola boehmei
Lineage: Eukaryota; Metazoa; Chordata; Lepidosauria; Squamata; Phyllodactylidae
Description: partial 12S ribosomal RNA
Source: RNAcentral